Molecule: long non-coding RNA, 1459 nt
Organism: Myotis myotis
Lineage: Eukaryota; Metazoa; Chordata; Mammalia; Chiroptera; Vespertilionidae
Exons: 10
Source: RefSeq, a predicted model, not a curated record
GACUCUCACAGCAGCAGUUAGAUGCCUGUCUGACCUCCACAGACAAGACGUUCUCCUUCUCCCUGGAAACAGCCGUUUCUGCUCUGCUUCUGAGCCCAGACUGUUAGAGGCCUCUCUUCGUGUCAAGAGACUGAGCAUCUUGCAGCUGCGUACCUGAUGACCUCCGUGUGUCUCUGUCAGCGAGUGUCCCUGGGUGGCCUGCCAAGGACUGAAAUCCAUCAGCUCUCUGGACUGUCCUGAAAGGGCUGAAGCAAGGCAUGCAAAGGAAAGAUAGAAGCCCUUAUGACAGUGGCUACUGUAUAAAAACAAAUGUAGUGCAAACUACAUACUUCUCUAAAUUGGAGAGGAUGAAGAUGAAGAUCUCAUCAAUCUGAAUAAUACCUUUCGCUAAUUCUCACACAAUCUACUUGUUUUGUUAAUGGGCUGGUGAUUAGAAAUGGAAAAGCAGAUGUCAAAAAUCAGUAAAAUGAGAACCUAGAAGGAUUAGCAAGAGACUGAAUUUUAGUUCCAUCCUGAAGACACCAAAUUUGAAGGAGACAGCCAUUUGGAGGCAUAUUGAGCUUUCAUGGCCUCUCAGGAGACAAAAUACAAAGCCCAAGACCAGCUUCAGGAAACUAUUUAGAAAUAUUCACUUUUUAAAACCAUGAUUUCGGGAGUAAGAAAAAACAUUUCAUCUGGAAACUUACCACUAAGUAAUUUACAAGUUGAAAUUGAAAAUGAAAUAUUGGUUAUGCUGGAUUUCACAGUGGAAUAAACUUAAAGGAGCUGGACCACAGGAAAGAAUCACUGCAGCAAGCUGUAACUGAUGUAUGGAGCGACAAGUCUCACUGCAUAUAAAGAGAAAGAGCACUGAGCAAUGACUGCUGCGAUGCACUGUUUCUGGAAACACCUGGUGUGGGUAUGAAAUUUCCUAAGAUACAGUGGGUGAAGAAUGUCUUUUGCCUUUACCUGAUACUGUGAAGCCAAGUGACCCCUUCUUGUAAAGAUCAACCACAGAAACACCAUCAACUCACAUGUGAUGUGGCACCAUCUCAGUCCAUUUCCAGUGUUGGGAUUCUUUAUUAGAAAAGACUUCUCUCCGUGGCAAACAUGACAUUGGAAGGAAUCACUAUUUAUUGAGGAGAAGAACUAUGAAGAGGAAAGAAAAAUUUGAGGGGAAGAAUCCAAGCUCACUUACUUGGCUAUUGACAAGCUUCAGUGAAAAGGAGUUGGAGAACGUGCAAGAGUAAGAGCAGACAGCGUUCCCAAGAUGCAUGCCACAGUCAUUUUUAAGUUAAUAUUGAAAGCAAUAUUCUAUUGCUACCACAGCAUUAUAUCUGUGAGAGCUAUUUCAUUUCAACCCAAGAGAAGGUGUUUUUAACCAUUGAAGGAUUGCAGUUCAUUUUGUGAACCAAUAGGAUGCCAGAUUUAUUUUAAUUUAUCAAAGCAAAGAUAAAAUGAAAGGUAGUGGUCAUAGUUG